GCCUACGGGGGGCAGCAGUGAGGGAUAUUGGUCAAUGGGGGAAACCCUGAACCAGCAACGCCGCGUGAGGGAAGACGGUUUUCGGAUUGUAAACCUCUGUCCUCUGUGAAGAUAAUGACGGUAGCGGAGGAGGAAGCCCCGGCUAACUACGUGCCAGCAGCCGCGGUAAUACGUAGGGGGCAAGCGUUAUCCGGAUUUACUGGGUGUAAAGGGAGCGUAGACGGUAUGGCAAGUCUGAAGUGAAAGCCCAGGGCUUAACCCUGGGACUGCUUUGGAAACUGUUAGACUAGAGUGCUGGAGAGGCA
This 305-nucleotide ribosomal RNA is filed under the name uncultured bacterium. Its description in RNAcentral is "bacterial SSU rRNA". It matches the Rfam family "Bacterial small subunit ribosomal RNA", at positions 337 to 659 of the family's 1533-position model. The record is from RNAcentral.